Molecule: unclassified non-coding RNA, 1576 nt
Filed under: Cimex lectularius (bed bug)
Lineage: Eukaryota; Metazoa; Arthropoda; Insecta; Hemiptera; Cimicidae
Description: phospholipid scramblase 2, transcript variant X3
Source: RNAcentral
GUGGUAGAUAGUUGUAGAUAUCUAGAACUGCGAUAAAAUUUGUUUUGCUAUUUAUAAACUGUUGCACAGUCUUUCCGGGGAUUUAGACGAUCAAAUAACGUAAGAAGCGAUCAAAGCAAGAGAUAGACUUUUAAAUUUGUCGUUAUCAAUGUAUCAGAAUUCACAAUCUUAUCCAGGAUACCCUCCUCCACAAGGAUACCCUCCGCCACAAGGAUACCCUCCACCACAGGGGUACCCUCCACCACAAGGCUACCAUUCAUCACAGGGCUACCCUCCAGCAGAUGGCUCUUAUCCACCACCUGGGUACCAACCUGUACCGAUUCAGAAUUAUCCGCCAGCGCCUGGGCAACAGCUGCUGCAACAAGGUUAUCCUCAACCGACGUCGGGUUUUGUCCCACCACCGAAUUCUUAUCCACCGACUGGUGGAGUUGGAGCUCCUAUACAAACACAGCCUGAGCCCAAUGGUUGGAUGAAUGUGCCGCAUUUGAGGCCAAACGAUUGCCCGCCUGGCUUGGAAUACCUGACUACUCUUGAUCAGCUUCUCGUUCACCAGAAAGUUGAAUUGCUUGAAGCUUUCACAGGUUUCGAGACAAAAAAUAAGUUCACGGUGAAAAACAGUUUGGGCCAAAAGGUUUAUUAUGCAGUCGAAGAUUCUGGUUGUUGCAACAGAUUGUGUUGUGGAACCAACAGACCUUUUGAAAUGAAAAUCCUGGACAACUUUAAAAAUGAAGUGAUCCACCUAGUCCGCCCUUUAGCCUGCCAGUCAUGUUUAUUCCCUUGUUGCAUGCAGCACAUGGAAGUCUUCUCACCGAUCGGAUGCUUGGUCGGGAGUGUGCAGCAGAAUUGGAGCGUAUUUACACCAUCCUUUGACAUAAAAAAUGCUGCAGGUGAUACGGUUCUUAAAAUUGAGGGGCCAAUUUGCACGUUCAGCAUUUGUGGUGAUGUUGAAUUCAAGAUCCUAGCACUUGACGGUGCGACUACAGUUGGAAAAAUCACUAAACAGUGGAGUGGGUUAUUGAGAGAGGCUUUCACAGAUGCAGACUAUUUUGGCGUCACAUUUCCUGUAGACCUAGAUGUCAGAAUGAAAGCAGUGAUGCUUGGAGCAUGUUUCUUGAUUGAUUACAUGUUCUUUGAGAAGAUUAACAACAAGGAAAAUGGAUUCUGUGGAUUAUGAUAUCUCAUGUAUUGUAAAUUGAGAGGAGCAGAAUAUUGAGUACCCCAUCGACCCUUAGAUUAGUAGUAGGCAUAAAUGAUGGACUCUACGACCCUGCAAAGCAUCGAAGGAGAUCCGCGGAUGAUUGCAAUCUUAAAAGACAAGAAAAACAUAAUAAUUAAACAAGAAUUGAACGUUCUAGAACUUGUUACACAAAUAGAAACUUCGAACAAAUAUACAGUCCAAACUACACAAGGGCAAGUUCUUUUCAGAGCCAAUGAGGUAUCUACAUUCCUUUUUAGGAACUGUUGCAUAUCGAAUAGACCUUUUACUAUAAAAUUACUGACACACGACGCUGGGGAGUUAAUUCGAAUCACACGACCUUUUCGUUUUCAGUCAUGCUGUUGUCCAUGCUUUCUCCAG